This 224-nucleotide ribosomal RNA is filed under the name Segatella copri. Its description in RNAcentral is "partial 16S ribosomal RNA". It matches the Rfam family "Bacterial small subunit ribosomal RNA", at positions 1 to 211 of the family's 1533-position model. Lineage: Bacteria; Pseudomonadati; Bacteroidota; Bacteroidia; Bacteroidales; Prevotellaceae. The record is from RNAcentral.
ACAAUGGAGAGUUUGAUCCUGGCUCAGGAUGAACGCUAGCUACAGGCUUAACACAUGCAAGUCGAGGGGAAACGACAUCGAAAGCUUGCUUUUGAUGGGCGUCGACCGGCGCACGGGUGAGUAACGCGUAUCCAACCUGCCCACCACUUGGGGAUAACCUUGCGAAAGUAAGACUAAUACCCAAUGACGUCUCUAGAAGACAUCUGAAAGAGAUUAAAGAUUUA